This is a long non-coding RNA of Equus caballus (horse), 1856 nucleotides long. NCBI's taxonomy places the organism in Eukaryota, Metazoa, Chordata, Mammalia, Perissodactyla, Equidae. The record is from Ensembl.
GGAUUCCAAAUUAGAUUGUCACCUCAUUCUCAACAGGCGUUCAUGAAUUUCCCGGUGGUAAUAAAGAGUCGAAAAGAAAUAACAAAAUUUCAUAAAGGCUUGCACUAGUUCCAAGCUGUGUGGAGACAUCAUGGAAAGGUGGUUCUCCUCAAAAGCUGCCGAGAUGACUACAGAAAACAAAUGGAGAGGAUCUUGACUCUGCCUCCAGCUGUGGCAGCUUUUCCACCUAGAGAGAGGGAGUGGCUGAAGGAUGAUGGCCGUUCCCUUCCCUGCCUCCUCGAAGAGACAUUCACUGCCCGCUCUGUGCUCCCAGUGUCAGAGAAAGGACAGGCCCUUUCCAUACUAAGGUUUUGGCAAGUACUAUCUGAACUUUUAAGAAGCUGAAAGACCCUGCAGGGAUUCUGCUGCCAAAGUUUUUGAGACCGUUGAUUUUAAAAAUUCAAGAUGGAUUAAUUUCGUAAAUGUGAAAGGCAAAAGUUUCAAAUGGUUAGAGGUCCUGUGGACAAAACAGAGAAAAAGAUUGGCUGCCUUCUGGAAGGGGGUCCAGACAGCAACAAGCAAGAAAAAUAUAGGAUCCUAAGAAAUGCUAUUGAACGUCAAUGUCAAUCCAAGUGAUGACUACAGGAGCAUCCUAGAAAUCCAUGGUCUCGACUCAGCAGGGAAAGCUCUGUUUUGCUUCUAAAAGGAACAAGUGGAGAAGCUAAGAAUAGAGGAGGGCCAGCACCGAGGGAUGUUGUCAAGACCAGCUUUAUUGUGCAGGUUUCUUCCCAUGCUCUCAUGCUCUAUUCUGUAUGGCCUCUGAGGCCAAAACAUGGCCUUAAAAAAUAGUCUCAUGAAAUGUCAAAGUUCUAUUAUUUCCUAAAUCCAUCUGGAAAUUUGAGACUGCUUCUAAGUUCUCAUUGUCCUAAGAGAACUGAUGAAUUGAUGAAUGUCUGGUGGGCUGGGUGGGUGUUCUGAAGCUCCCACUCACCAAGCCUUGGCAGGUUCCUAAAAGAUGAAAGGAAAAUAAGGAGGGAGGGAUAUCCUGUUGGUUGCUCCUGUUCUCAAUGGAGAGCUGACCCUGCUUUUGCCUUUUCAUCAACGAGUCCAGUGAGAGUAGUUUUCGGAGCCUAAAGUGCAAGUGAGCACACUCUUGUGAACUGCUAGCUGAGCCUGUAGGGCUGUCUGCUGCUGUCCUUUGUCCAAGGAGGGUUGCCCUUAAGGACUCAUUACCACACGUCCCCUGAGAGUGUCCAACCUCUGCAAACUCACCCUAUUAUUCCCCUGAGAUGGCAUCGUGGGCUGAAUUUUGCCCCCCAAAAGUCAUAUGUUGAAGUCCUAAACCCUAGUAUCUCUGCAUGUGGCGAUAUUUGGAGACAGAGACUUUAAAGAGGUAAUUAAGUUAAAUUGGGUCACUAAGAUGGGUCCGAAUCCAAUGUGACUGGCGUCCUUACAAGAAGACGAGAUUAGGACUGCGGCAACACAGAGAGACAACCCUGGGAGAGACACAGCAGAAGAUGGCCAUCUGCCAGCCAAGGAGAGAGACCUCAGAAGAAACCAAAGCUAUUAACGCCUUGACCUUGGACUUCUAGCCUCCAGAAUUUGCCGGAGCAACACAAACUCCCUAGGACGUCCCUCUGGCCCGAAGAGGGAGAGCGAAGAAACCAGAAAAUCCUAGAUGAGUGACAGCUGCUUUCCUGAUUUUUAAGAAGUGUUGAUUCCUUUGUGAGACAAGUUGUUGACCUGAGCUCCAAGUGAAACAGCCUACAGAUAUUGACCAAGCUUCUAGGAUCUCAACAGGACACAAGCCCUGUACUGUAGGAAAGCUGCCUGUGCUGUGAAGCCCACAGCUCAAAGUCCAAAAGACCCUCUUUGAA